UACGGAGGGGGCAAGCGGUGUUCGGAAUUACUGGGCGUAAAGGGCGCGUAGGCGGUCAGUUGCGUCGGGUGUGAAAGCCCCGGGCUCAACCUGGGAGGUGCACUUGAUACGGGCUGGCUGGAAUCCGGGAGAGGAUGGUGGAAUUCCCAGUGUAGAGGUGAAAUUCGUAGAUAUUGGGAAGAACACCGAUGGCGAAGGCAGCCAUCUGGACCGGGAUUGUCGCUGAGGCGCGAAAGCGUGGGGAGCAAACAGG
RNAcentral lists this ribosomal RNA (253 nucleotides) under uncultured bacterium. RNAcentral's name for it is "partial 16S ribosomal RNA". It matches the Rfam family "Bacterial small subunit ribosomal RNA", at positions 524 to 776 of the family's 1533-position model. The record is from RNAcentral.